This 984-nucleotide ribosomal RNA is filed under the name uncultured bacterium. Its description in RNAcentral is "bacterial SSU rRNA". It matches the Rfam family "Bacterial small subunit ribosomal RNA", at positions 500 to 1482 of the family's 1533-position model. The record is from RNAcentral.
AUUCCGUGCCAGCAGCCGCGGUAAUACGGGAGUGGCAAGCGUUAUCCGGAAUUAUUGGGCGUAAAGCGUCCGCAGGCGGCCCAACAAGUCUGCUGUUAAAAAGUGGAGCUUAACUCCAUCCAUGGCAGUGGAAACUGUUGGGCUCGAGUGUGGUAGGGGCAGAGGGAAUUCCCGGUGUAGCGGUGAAAUGCGUAGAUAUCGGGAAGAACACCAGUGGCGAAGGCGCUCUGCUGGGCCAUCACUGACGCUCAUGGACGAAAGCCAGGGGAGCGAAAGGGAUUAGAUACCCCUGUAGUCCUGGCCGUAAACGAUGAACACUAGGUGUCGGGGGAAUCGACCCCUCCGGUGUCGUAGCCAACGCGUUAAGUGUUCCGCCUGGGGAGUACGCACGCAAGUGUGAAACUCAAAGGAAUUGACGGGGGCCCGCACAAGCGGUGGAGUAUGUGGUUUAAUUCGAUGCAACGCGAAGAACCUUACCAGGGUUUGACAUCCUGCGAAUCUCUUGGAAACUUGAGAGUGCCUUCGGGAGCGCAGUGACAGGUGGUGCAUGGCUGUCGUCAGCUCGUGUCGUGAGAUGUUGGGUUAAGUCCCGCAACGAGCGCAACCCACGUCUUUAGUUGCCAGCAUUUAGUUGGGCACUCUAGAGAGACCGCCGGUGAUAAACCGGAGGAAGGUGUGGAUGACGUCAAGUCAUCAUGCCCCUUACAUCCUGGGCUACACACGUACUACAAUGCUACGGACAAAGGGCAGCAAGUUCGCGAGGACAAGCAAAUCCCAUAAACCGUGGCUCAGUUCAGAUCGUAGGCUGCAACUCGCCUACGUGAAGGAGGAAUCGCUAGUAAUCGCAGGUCAGCAUACUGCGGUGAAUACGUUCCCGGGCCUUGUACACACCGCCCGUCACACCAUGGAAGUUGGCCACGCCCGAAGCCGUUACUCCAACCCUUGUGGAGGAGGACGUCGAAGGUGGGGCUGAUGACUGGGGUG